UGGGGAAUAUUGCACAAUGGGCGCAAGCCUGAUGUAGCAACGCCGCGUGAGGGACGACGGCCUUCGGGUUGUAAACCUCUUUUGGCAGGGAAGAAGCGAAAGUGACGGUACUUGCAGAAAAAGCACCGGCUAACUACGUGCCAGCAGCCGCGGUGAUACGUAGGGUGCAAGCGUUGUCCGGAAUUAUUGGGCGUAAAGAGCUCGUAGGCGGUUUGUCGCGUCUGCUGUGAAAACCCGAGGCUCAACCUCGGGCCUGCAGUGGGUACGGGCAAACUAGAGUGCGGUAGGGGAGAUUGGAAUUCCUGGUGUAGCGGUGGAAUGCGCAGAUAUCAGGAGGAACACCGAUGGCGAAGGCAGAUCUCUGGGCCGUAACUGACGCUGAGGAGCGAAAGCAUGGGGAGCGAACA
Molecule: ribosomal RNA, 407 nt
Filed under: uncultured bacterium
Lineage: Bacteria
Description: bacterial SSU rRNA
Rfam family: Bacterial small subunit ribosomal RNA
Source: RNAcentral